UAUAAAAUGUUACUAAUCCGGUCACUAAUUGCAUAACACCAGAUUUAUUGCAAUAACAGACACACUUAACAUUUCCAAUCACUUAUUGCAUAAAUGAAUCACAUACUAAUCACUUAUUGCAUAAACAGCAGUUUUAUUGCAGUAACAGACAACAUAAAAAAACACAGUUAACAGACACAACCCGUAGAAUCAAUGAACUUUUUUUUUAAGUUUAUAAAGUCACACAAAACCUAUCCAUGUAUUUUUAAAAAGUCAAAGUUCUAACAUGCUCUGUAUUUCAUGCUGUCAAUAUGAGAUGCAUACUAAUGUUGUGUGUUAUUAUUGCAGCUGAGAAGAUGGCCAAGAUAUCCUUAUUGCUGGAUGGUAGCUCUCUGGUCGUAGUGGACCAUGUCUGCAAAUGCUUCUGAACAUUGACAUAAUUUCUAAAGGAUUGUUGAGGACUCCCCCUCCAUGCGUGACAUCUUUGAGAAAUAGCCACGCUUUCUGGAUAUGCCAAGUUUUACUGGAACCAACUUUGCAUCCCUCGGCACUGACACUGAGAAGGUUUCAAGGGCCCCACUACUAGGAGGCCUGAAGAGUUUGACACGGCAGUGUCAUCACUGCCAGGGAUGACAACGUAACCAUUCCUGUUGCUGAUUGCCUGACGUGCGCAAUGACAAGCUUUUCAUGCUCUACUGGGUGUGUAACUUGGCAUAUCUACCACAGUUUAACUCUGUUUUUGCCUCUUUUGAAUAUGUGUACGAUAUAACCAUCUCAACCAACAAGUGGGCCAAGGUACUGGAACAUUUCUCACUUCAAGUUGCUCAGUAGUCACUGGACAUUUUUUUAAAACAUCUAUGCAGACACCACCCCUCCACAACAUACCAUGUGUAUUUUAAUUACUUCUGAUUCCACUGACAUGCAGACUACAUCCUAUGCAAAUUCAGGUAAUUUACCUGGUACUGGAGAAACAGCAUUGUAUGCCAUUCUAAGUGAUAGUUGCCUCCUUGUUUUGCAAAAAUGUACUGUUCUUUGAAUAUAACUUAAAGUAAGAUCAGCUGGACUCUGAGGUUGUCUCCGGUUGUCAAGCACAACCUUAACGUUUUGUAAGUAAGUAAUAGUCACAGGAUAUGCAUGCAUUUGUAAUUUGAAUUUUCGUUGAAAACGGCUCACCAAGCAUAAAAUGUUACCUCUGCUUUUGAUUUUUAAAAAAAAAAAAUGUCCCUUAAUACCAGCCUGUCUUUUUGUUGUGUCCACACAACUUUACUAUCAUCAGUGUUGGGAAGGAACAGAUUGCUGUAAGCAGAUUUUGAGUUACUGUAUCCCCAUCCUUUCAGAUCAGUGCUU
This is a long non-coding RNA of Engraulis encrasicolus (European anchovy), 1326 nucleotides long. RefSeq lists it as uncharacterized. The transcript is spliced from 3 exons. The record is from RefSeq and is a predicted model, not a curated record. NCBI's taxonomy places the organism in Eukaryota, Metazoa, Chordata, Actinopteri, Clupeiformes, Engraulidae.